CUACGUGCCAGCAGCCGCGGUAAUACGGAAGGUCCAGGCGUUAUCCGGAUUUAUUGGGUUUAAAGGGAGCGUAGGCUGGAGAUUAAGUGUGUUGUGAAAUGUAGACGCUCAACGUCUGAAUUGCAGCGCAUACUGGUUUCCUUGAGUACGCACAACGUUGGCGGAAUUCGUCGUGUAGCGGUGAAAUGCUUAGAUAUGACGAAGAACUCCGAUUGCGAAGGCAGCUGACGGGAGCGCAACUGACGCUUAAGCUCGAAGGUGCGGGUAUCAAACAGGAUUAGAUACCCUGGUAGUCCGCACAGUAAACGAUGGAUGCCCGCUGUUGGUACCUGGUAUCAGCGGCUAAGCGAAAGCAUUAAGCAUCCCACCUGGGGAGUACGCCGGCAACGGUGAAACUCAAAGGAAUUGGCGGGGGCCCGCACAAGCGGUGGAGCAUGUGGUUUAAUUCGAAGCAACGCGAAGAACCUUACCAGGUCUUGACAUCCCUCUGACCGCUCUAGAGAUAGAGUUUUC
This 513-nucleotide ribosomal RNA is filed under the name uncultured bacterium. RNAcentral describes it as "bacterial SSU rRNA". It matches the Rfam family "Bacterial small subunit ribosomal RNA", at positions 501 to 1016 of the family's 1533-position model. The record is from RNAcentral.